UUCUAAUCUGCACAGAGCCCUUUGAGGGAGGAACUUCUAUGUCUCCUAGCAGAUGGGGAAACUGAGACCUCAGGGCAUCAGGAUUGGCAGCGACCCUGGAGAUCCAAUGCCUACCUGCCUCCAGUAUUUUUCUUAACUGAUGAGGAAAUUGAGCACCAGAGAGAGAAAAUGACCAUUUUACAGCGUAGCUUGGUCAAGCUUGCAUCUAUCAAUAGAGAAGCAAAGGAAGGUAAAUCUACGUUGCUUCUAGAAACUGGAGGCAUUUUGACCAUUUCAAUAUGAAAUGUCUCUUUCAA
Molecule: long non-coding RNA, 296 nt
Organism: Hipposideros armiger (great roundleaf bat)
Lineage: Eukaryota; Metazoa; Chordata; Mammalia; Chiroptera; Hipposideridae
Exons: 3
Source: RefSeq, a predicted model, not a curated record